GAGCCUGUAGCUCAGCUGGUAGAGCAACGGCCUUUUAAGCCGUGGGUCGAGGGUUCGAUCCCCUCCGGGCUCA
This 73-nucleotide transfer RNA is filed under the name Phycisphaerae bacterium. Its description in RNAcentral is "tRNA-Lys". It matches the Rfam family "tRNA". Rfam says of the family: Transfer RNA (tRNA) molecules are approximately 80 nucleotides in length. Their secondary structure includes four short double-helical elements and three loops (D, anti-codon, and T loops). Further hydrogen bonds mediate the characteristic L-shaped molecular structure. tRNAs have two regions of fundamental functional importance: the anti-codon, which is responsible for specific mRNA codon recognition, and the 3' end, to which the tRNAs corresponding amino acid is attached (by aminoacyl-tRNA synthetases). tRNAs cope with the degeneracy of the genetic code in two manners: having more than one tRNA (with a specific anti-codon) for a particular amino acid; and 'wobble' base-pairing, i.e. permitting non-standard base-pairing at the 3rd anti-codon position. The record is from RNAcentral. Lineage: Bacteria; Pseudomonadati; Planctomycetota; Phycisphaerae.